CCGAGUACUUAACUCAUAACCCUUUGUGAACCUUCAUAACCUGUUGCUUCGGCGGCGCGUGCCCCCCGGGGCCGCGCCCGCCGGUAACCAUCAGAAUCUCUGUUUGAACCCGACGAUACAUCUGAGUGUUCUAAGCGAACUGUUA
This 145-nucleotide unclassified non-coding RNA is filed under the name soil metagenome. RNAcentral's name for it is "partial internal transcribed spacer 1". The record is from RNAcentral.